CGUUAAGCAAAUCCCAGAAAUAACGUCCCAGUUCGGAUUGUAGUCUGCAACCCGACUACAUGAAGCUGGAAUCGCUAGUAAUCGCGAAUCAGAAUGUCGCGGUGAAUACGUUCCCGGGUCUUGUACACACCGCCCGUCACACCAUGGGAGUCGGAAAUGCCCGAAGUCAGUGACCCAACCGUAAGGAGGGAGCUGCCGAAGGUGGAGCCGGUGACUGGGGUGAAGUCGUAACAAGGUACC
This 240-nucleotide ribosomal RNA is filed under the name uncultured bacterium. RNAcentral describes it as "partial 16S ribosomal RNA". It matches the Rfam family "Bacterial small subunit ribosomal RNA", at positions 1261 to 1500 of the family's 1533-position model. The record is from RNAcentral.